GUGCUCACUUUGGCAGCACGUAUACUAAAAUUGGAAUGAUACAGAGAAGAUUAGCAUGGCUCCUGCAUGGAAUGACAUGCCAAGUGUGCACUCGCUCUCUCUCUUU
Molecule: small nuclear RNA, 106 nt
Organism: Nomascus leucogenys (northern white-cheeked gibbon)
Lineage: Eukaryota; Metazoa; Chordata; Mammalia; Primates; Hylobatidae
Source: Ensembl